CAGCCUGUGACCAUGUCGCCUUCAGCUCAUCAGACCUUUGCAUGCAGCCAGAAUGAGCACAUUGUCUUCCUUCCCCAGAUGCAUACUGAGCAGCCAGUAAGGACCAUCGCUAUUCCAGAUGGGACAUUGCAAUGAAGAGGAGAGGCACGGCCUGCCUCCAUGGAGCUGAUGUUAUUUUAGGGAGGCAGACGGUAAUCAAAGAAACAAGAGCUGUUUCUGAGGAGUUAGCAUCCCAGCUGAGGCGUGAAUAAAGGGAAGGACUCAGAAUUUUCCAGGUACAUGAAAUGCAAAUGCCAAGGCCCCAAGGUGGGUGCAGACAAGGAGGCCCAGCUGGAGUGGAUUGAGGGAAGGAGAUAGGAAAGGACAGGGUCAGAAUGGGGAGGCUUGUAGGGGGCAGAUCUUGCAGGGCUUAUGGGCCAUGAAUGGACUUUGAUGUCUACCCUGGAAGAGGUGGGAGCCAUGGGAAGCCUUUGGGCAGAAGACUGUGCUGUGACUUCAGCUCUGUAGGAUUUUUGUGGUGGUUACAAGGGAAGACUGUUGGGGUGAGGGUAGAGGUAGGGAGACCUGGGAGGUGAAUGCUGCCGGAGUCCUGGUUAGCAGAGUAGGUCAGAUCACGAUGGUGGAGGUAGAGGUGUUGAUCAGUGGUCAGAUAGAGAUCUGUUUUGAAGGUGGAGCGGACAGGGUUAAUGGGUUGAAGCGCAGCAUCCAAGGGCAGAGCAAGGCUGGCUCAGGACCCUGAAAGUAUUUUCGUUUGCUACAGCUGCCAUCACAAAAUACCACAGGCUGGGUGACUUAAACAAUAAACUUUUAUUUUCUCACACUCUGGAAGCUGGAAGUCCAAGAUCAAAGUGUUGUUGGCAGGGUUGGUUUCUCCUGAGUCUUCUCUCCUUGGUUAGUAGAUGGCCACUUUCUUGCUGUGUCCUCACCAUGGCCUUUCCUCAUUAGCAUGCCCCUGGUCUCUCUCUCCCAGUCAUACUGGAACAGGGCCUACCCACAUGACUUUGUUUAAUGUUAAUUACCUCUUUAAAGGUCCUCUAUCCAAAUACAGUCACAUUCUAGGGCUUAGGUUAGGAUAUUAACAUAUGAAUUUGGGGGGGGGGACACACUUCACUCCAUAAUGGGUCGAAGGGGCAUUGGUAUGACUGUGGGGAUACUUUCUGGGAGGCUCCUGAGGAGAGGAGAGAGAGGGUAGCAUCUAGAGGAGACCCAGGUGCCAGGGAGGAACGAGCCCAGACUGACAGUUAGUAGGUGUGGGGUGACCUGGAAACUCCAUGGAAGCUUCCCUCAGGGCGUUCCUCUCUGUACAGAUUGUGAGUCUGUGCUGUUAGAGCUGGGAGGAGUCCUGCCCUUUCCACGGCCUGAGGCCAAGGUAUUCUUUGCCUUUAGCCCAGCACAAGAAAAGUUUGCUGAAGAACAAGGAAUGAAUAACUGAGUGGCAGAUGGACAGACAACUGGAUUCUCAUUUACCUUCCAUAUGCACCAUGGCCCUUCAACUCCAUACUCCAGACCUUGGGAGACCCCUUUUGUGCUUAUUCUCUGGUUAUUCAACCAGUGUUCUAGGCCUCUGGGCUUUCCUGAAUAGACUUUCCUCUCUGUCUCUUUCUCAUCCUCUCCCCAGAUUUCAAACCUCAUCUCUUUGAGGAAGUGUUCGUUUUAACUUGGCACUGUAUCAAUCAGUUAUCCUCUGUAAUGAAUAGUUUCAACAGUUCAGUUACUGACAGAAAUAAGCACUUAUUCCUCUCAUGAGUCUAAGGAUUGGCUAUUCUGGCUGGGGCUUGGCUCCAGGCUCCAGGUUGGGUCCAUCUUUGUUGCACUUGUUUUGUAGGGCUCAUGGUGAUGGCAGAGAUGCCAGCAGGCUUGCGCCCAGGCUCAAGACUAACAUACUAGCAAUGCCACUCACAUUCCAUUGGCCAAACGAGUCACAUGGCCACACCCAAAGUUAAGGAAAGGGUAUCCAUGCUGUCUUCAGUGAGAGGAACCACAAAUGUGGCCAAAGGUGUGUACACGAGGAGGGGUGAAGAAAUGAGCCAGUAAUUCCAUCCACAUCAUCAAUCCUUUUGAUUUCUUUCUUUCAGUUCAGAAAAGUCAACAAAGUUAACAUUUGUGAUCUUGGUUUCUUUCUGAUCAAGGAAGGCGACCACAGAGCAUAUUCAAGGACCUGCUGCAAUCCAUCCCGAGGAUAAUAAUGGAGGUCGUCAGAAAAGAGAUCUCAUGAGGGUCUGUGUUCACACACUUUGGCGCUCCUGAGGCCUACUCAGGGAACCGGAACAGAGGUCCUACUGAGGACAUAGGGCAACAUUUGCUUUUCUGGGAAAAAGAAGUUAAGCAAUGGUCAGUCCCCAGCAUGGAAAAUCCUAGUGUGGGGAGAGGUUAUGGAGGCAGUGAAGCUGUGAGGGGUGUCAGGAUACCUUCGAGCCCUGUCGAACAAAA
This 2430-nucleotide long non-coding RNA is filed under the name Lynx pardinus (Iberian lynx). The record is from RNAcentral. Lineage: Eukaryota; Metazoa; Chordata; Mammalia; Carnivora; Felidae.